GGUAAACGGCGGCCGUAACAAUAACGGUCCUAAGGUAGCGAAAUUCCUUGUCGGGUAAGUUCCGACCUGCACGAAUGGCGUAACGACUUCCCCACUGUCUCCAGGAUAUGCUCAGCGAAAUUGAAGUUCCCGUGAAGAUGCGGGAUACCCGCGGUUAGACGGAAAGACCCCGUGCACCUUUACUACAGCUUCACACUGGCAUCAGGCCAAGCAUGUGCAGGAUAGGUGGUGGGCU
This 235-nucleotide ribosomal RNA is filed under the name Alexandrium margalefii. Its description in RNAcentral is "partial Bacterial large subunit ribosomal RNA". It matches the Rfam family "Bacterial large subunit ribosomal RNA", at positions 1922 to 2156 of the family's 2925-position model. The record is from RNAcentral. Lineage: Eukaryota; Dinophyceae; Gonyaulacales; Pyrocystaceae.